RNAcentral lists this ribosomal RNA (2249 nucleotides) under Escherichia coli. RNAcentral's name for it is "partial 23S ribosomal RNA". It matches the Rfam family "Bacterial large subunit ribosomal RNA", at positions 418 to 2652 of the family's 2925-position model. The record is from RNAcentral. Lineage: Bacteria; Pseudomonadati; Pseudomonadota; Gammaproteobacteria; Enterobacterales; Enterobacteriaceae.
CGGGACACGUGGUAUCCUGUCUGAAUAUGGGGGGACCAUCCUCCAAGGCUAAAUACUCCUGACUGACCGAUAGUGAACCAGUACCGUGAGGGAAAGGCGAAAAGAACCCCGGCGAGGGGAGUGAAAAAGAACCUGAAACCGUGUACGUACAAGCAGUGGGAGCACGCUUAGGCGUGUGACUGCGUACCUUUUGUAUAAUGGGUCAGCGACUUAUAUUCUGUAGCAAGGUUAACCGAAUAGGGGAGCCGAAGGGAAACCGAGUCUUAACUGGGCGUUAAGUUGCAGGGUAUAGACCCGAAACCCGGUGAUCUAGCCAUGGGCAGGUUGAAGGUUGGGUAACACUAACUGGAGGACCGAACCGACUAAUGUUGAAAAAUUAGCGGAUGACUUGUGGCUGGGGGUGAAAGGCCAAUCAAACCGGGAGAUAGCUGGUUCUCCCCGAAAGCUAUUUAGGUAGCGCCUCGUGAAUUCAUCUCCGGGGGUAGAGCACUGUUUCGGCAAGGGGGUCAUCCCGACUUACCAACCCGAUGCAAACUGCGAAUACCGGAGAAUGUUAUCACGGGAGACACACGGCGGGUGCUAACGUCCGUCGUGAAGAGGGAAACAACCCAGACCGCCAGCUAAGGUCCCAAAGUCAUGGUUAAGUGGGAAACGAUGUGGGAAGGCCCAGACAGCCAGGAUGUUGGCUUAGAAGCAGCCAUCAUUUAAAGAAAGCGUAAUAGCUCACUGGUCGAGUCGGCCUGCGCGGAAGAUGUAACGGGGCUAAACCAUGCACCGAAGCUGCGGCAGCGACGCUGAUGCGUUGUUGGGUAGGGGAGCGUUCUGUAAGCCUGUGAAGGUGUGCUGUGAGGCAUGCUGGAGGUAUCAGAAGUGCGAAUGCUGACAUAAGUAACGAUAAAGCGGGUGAAAAGCCCGCUCGCCGGAAGACCAAGGGUUCCUGUCCAACGUUAAUCGGGGCAGGGUGAGUCGACCCCUAAGGCGAGGCCGAAAGGCGUAGUCGAUGGGAAACAGGUUAAUAUUCCUGUACUUGGUGUUACUGCGAAGGGGGGACGGAGAAGGCUAUGUUGGCCGGGCGACGGUUGUCCCGGUUUAAGCGUGUAGGCUGGUUUUCCAGGCAAAUCCGGAAAAUCAAGGCUGAGGCGUGAUGACGAGGCACUACGGUGCUGAAGCAACAAAUGCCCUGCUUCCAGGAAAAGCCUCUAAGCAUCAGGUAACAUCAAAUCGUACCCCAAACCGACACAGGUGGUCAGGUAGAGAAUACCAAGGCGCUUGAGAGAACUCGGGUGAAGGAACUAGGCAAAAUGGUGCCGUAACUUCGGGAGAAGGCACGCUGAUAUGUAGGUGAAGCGACUUGCUCGUGGAGCUGAAAUCAGUCGAAGAUACCAGCUGGCUGCAACUGUUUAUUAAAAACACAGCACUGUGCAAACACGAAAGUGGACGUAUACGGUGUGACGCCUGCCCGGUGCCGGAAGGUUAAUUGAUGGGGUCAGCGCAAGCGAAGCUCUUGAUCGAAGCCCCGGUAAACGGCGGCCGUAACUAUAACGGUCCUAAGGUAGCGAAAUUCCUUGUCGGGUAAGUUCCGACCUGCACGAAUGGCGUAAUGAUGGCCAGGCUGUCUCCACCCGAGACUCAGUGAAAUUGAACUCGCUGUGAAGAUGCAGUGUACCCGCGGCAAGACGGAAAGACCCCGUGAACCUUUACUAUAGCUUGACACUGAACAUUGAGCCUUGAUGUGUAGGAUAGGUGGGAGGCUUUGAAGUGUGGACGCCAGUCUGCAUGGAGCCGGCCUUGAAAUACCACCCUUUAAUGUUUGAUGUUCUAACGUUGACCCGUGAUCCGGGUUGCGGACAGUGUCUGGUGGGUAGUUUGACUGGGGCGGUCUCCUCCUAAAGAGUAACGGAGGAGCACGAAGGUUGGCUAAUCCUGGUCGGACAUCAGGAGGUUAGUGCAAUGGCAUAAGCCAGCUUGACUGCGAGCGUGACGGCGCGAGCAGGUGCGAAAGCAGGUCAUAGUGAUCCGGUGGUUCUGAAUGGAAGGGCCAUCGCUCAACGGAUAAAAGGUACUCCGGGGAUAACAGGCUGAUACCGCCCAAGAGUUCAUAUCGACGGCGGUGUUUGGCACCUCGAUGUCGGCUCAUCACAUCCUGGGGCUGAAGUAGGUCCCAAGGGUAUGGCUGUUCGCCAUUUAAAGUGGUACGCGAGCUGGGUUUAGAACGUCGUGAGACAGUUCGGUCCCUAUCUGCCGUGGGC